AUUAAUUCCGACAACUCUAGAAU
Molecule: small nuclear RNA, 23 nt
Filed under: Arabidopsis thaliana (thale cress)
Lineage: Eukaryota; Viridiplantae; Streptophyta; Magnoliopsida; Brassicales; Brassicaceae
Description: snRNA_17417
Source: RNAcentral